AAAAUACCGUAAAAUUUGUGAUAUUGCCACAAAUUGCCUAUCCCCAGACAGUAGGAGAAACCUGUCUCCAUUGCUGCACUACAACUGAAUUUUUUUAAAAAAGCAAUUGUGUCUCUAACUUGCAAGUGUUCUAUAUGCAGAAGGCUUUUUAUAUGAGAGAGCAUUCCUUGAGGGGCAGAAUGUGAUGGCGACUUCACUUGGAGGUAUAUUGCAAACAAAAGCACCACCACUCUUGGCUUGUGCUGGAGGCAGAGGGACUCAGGAGCGGCGGCAGUUUCACCAGUGAUCUACCGCUGAGUAGCUGACUGUGUAGAGCUGGACCAUGUAUCUUGGCUGCUUAUUCUUUCCCGAAGGCGGGAAGAAGCAGCCAAUAUAAAUUCCAGUCGUCACGAUAUAUCAGCAUACACCGGUAUUUAGCUGCUGAUAUAUCACGAUGUUGAAAAGAAAGUAUCGCUCAGCCCUAACACUAAACUAAAUCAUCAGAUGGUGAGCUAUUCUGCUAAUCAUCGUCGCUAUUUGCAUAGCUAUUUUGCCUGUUGGACUUCCAAGAUGAGACAUGAAUCCCAAACACAUCAGGCAAGAUUCACUGCAAACCCUGCCUACAAGCAGUGGGAGAGUCCUCUAAACUUUAUAAUCUUUGAAUAAUAAUAAUAAUAAUAAAUUUUAUUUGUACCCCGCCCUCCCCGGCCAGAGCCGGGCUCAGAGCGGCUAACAUCAUAUAAAUAACACAGCAUACAUAAAAACAGGCAUCAAUUAAUUAAAAUACAUCUUAAAAUUAAUUCAGACAAAUUAAAAACUGGACCAACGGCAGUUGACAGGUUAAGACUGAGAGCAGUUAAUACUUGCCAGGACCAACUGUUUUCACAUAUAAGGACCUGUGAAGAGGCUGGGAGGCCUCCUUCGCGCUUGUUCUUAUACAAAGGAAAAUAGGUCAGACUGCAAACCCUGACCCUGACCCUGACCCUGACCCUAAGUGGACUUGCUGUUAUUCCCUUGGCUCUGUGUUUUAUUUAAAGGUGUUCCCUCUGCUGGGUAUCAGCCAAGUGGUGUAGAAGUAAAUCCUUGCCACAAUUCACUGGAAAGAUAAAUCUGCGACUCCCUUGGAAUAACAGGGAGAAGAUAGGACUACUCUUGCAAUAUAUGAACAGAUUGCUUUUAGACGUAGAUUGUGUACAGACAAGUAGAAUGGUGUUUGGAAUGCAUUGCUAUAAAGCACGGUGACGUGCUCAUAGUUUUCUACUAUUACAAUAAUCGGACUACUUCUAUAUUGCAAAGUAUCAGUUUCAAGCACUUUGCUUUGUUUUGUUUUGACCUUUCUCUGACUUUUCCCACUUCAUUGCUCUUCCAAAAAUGUUC
This is a non-coding RNA of Podarcis lilfordi (Lilford's wall lizard), 1356 nucleotides long. NCBI's taxonomy places the organism in Eukaryota, Metazoa, Chordata, Lepidosauria, Squamata, Lacertidae. The record is from the annotation of a GenBank genome assembly.